AAUUCUCAAACAAGAUAGAUUUGUUUCUAUCUCUGUUUGGAUCUGGACUUUGCUGUGUCAAUGCGGCUGGUCUUAAAUGUAUUAGCUGGUCCUAACGAGGGUUUGGUUCUUACUCAGCAUGAUAAUUAUCUGAUGUUGAGGACAGUCUCAGGACUGGCCAGGCCUCUCCUUGGAUUGCUUCUAAUCGUCUUUGGACAAUUAUUCAAU
RNAcentral lists this unclassified non-coding RNA (207 nucleotides) under uncultured fungus. RNAcentral's name for it is "sequence contains ITS2". The record is from RNAcentral. Lineage: Eukaryota; Fungi.